RNAcentral lists this transfer RNA (73 nucleotides) under Candidatus Zixiibacteriota bacterium. RNAcentral's name for it is "tRNA-Lys". It matches the Rfam family "tRNA". Rfam says of the family: Transfer RNA (tRNA) molecules are approximately 80 nucleotides in length. Their secondary structure includes four short double-helical elements and three loops (D, anti-codon, and T loops). The record is from RNAcentral. Lineage: Bacteria; Pseudomonadati; Candidatus Zixiibacteriota.
GCGCCGUUAGCUCAGCUGGUAGAGCAGCUGACUCUUAAUCAGCGGGUCCGGGGUUCGAAUCCCUGACGGCGUA